RNAcentral lists this ribosomal RNA (630 nucleotides) under Streptomyces sp. Its description in RNAcentral is "bacterial SSU rRNA". It matches the Rfam family "Bacterial small subunit ribosomal RNA", at positions 83 to 727 of the family's 1533-position model. The record is from RNAcentral. Lineage: Bacteria; Bacillati; Actinomycetota; Actinomycetes; Kitasatosporales; Streptomycetaceae.
CGGGGUGGAUUAGUGGCGAACGGGUGAGUAACACGUGGGCAAUCUGCCCUUCACUCUGGGACAAGCCCUGGAAACGGGGUCUAAUACCGGAUACGAGCCUGGGAGGCAUCUCCCGGGUUGGAAAGCUCCGGCGGUGAAGGAUGAGCCCGCGGCCUAUCAGCUUGUUGGUGAGGUAAUGGCUCACCAAGGCGACGACGGGUAGCCGGCCUGAGAGGGCGACCGGCCACACUGGGACUGAGACACGGCCCAGACUCCUACGGGAGGCAGCAGUGGGGAAUAUUGCACAAUGGGCGAAAGCCUGAUGCAGCGACGCCGCGUGAGGGAUGACGGCCUUCGGGUUGUAAACCUCUUUCAGCAGGGAAGAAGCGAGAGUGACGGUACCUGCAGAAGAAGCGCCGGCUAACUACGUGCCAGCAGCCGCGGUAAUACGUAGGGCGCAAGCGUUGUCCGGAAUUAUUGGGCGUAAAGAGCUCGUAGGCGGCUUGUCACGUCGAUUGUGAAAGCCCGAGGCUUAACCUCGGGUCUGCAGUCGAUACGGGCUAGCUAGAGUGUGGUAGGGGAGAUCGGAAUUCCUGGUGUAGCGGUGAAAUGCGCAGAUAUCAGGAGGAACACCGGUGGCGAAGGCGGAUC